RNAcentral lists this ribosomal RNA (486 nucleotides) under uncultured bacterium. Its description in RNAcentral is "bacterial SSU rRNA". It matches the Rfam family "Bacterial small subunit ribosomal RNA", at positions 494 to 981 of the family's 1533-position model. The record is from RNAcentral.
CAGCUAACUCUGUGCCACAGCCGCGGUAAUACAGAGGGUGCAAGCGUUAAUCGGAUUUCUGGGCGUAAAGCGCGCGUAGGCGGCUAAUUAAGUCAAAUGUGAAAUCCCCGAGCUUAACUUGGGAAUUGCAUUCGAUACUGGUUAGCUAGAGUGUGGGAGAGGAUGGUAGAAUUCCAGGUGUAGCGGUGAAAUGCGUAGAGAUCUGGAGGAAUACCGAUGGCGAAGGCAGCCAUCUGGCCUAACACUGACGCUGAGGUGCGAAAGCAUGGGAAGCAAACAGGAUUAGAUACCCUGGUAGUCCAUGCCGUAAACGAUGUCUACUAGCCGUUGGGGCCUUUGAGGCUUUAGUGGCGCAGCUAACGCGAUAAGUAGACCGCCUGGGGAGUACGGUCGCAAGACUAAAACUCAAAUGAAUUGACGGGGGCCCGCACAAGCGGUGGAGCAUGUGGUUUAAUUCGAUGCAACGCGAAGAACCUUACCUGGUCU